Molecule: ribosomal RNA, 430 nt
Filed under: uncultured bacterium
Lineage: Bacteria
Description: bacterial SSU rRNA
Rfam family: Bacterial small subunit ribosomal RNA
Source: RNAcentral
UGAGGAAUCUUGCGCAAUGGGGGAAACCCUGACGCAGCAACGCCGCGUGAGUGAGGAAGGUCUUCGGAUCGUAAAGCUCUGUCAGUUGGGAAGAAAUACCUGAGGGUUAAUACCCUUCAGGCUUGACGGUACCAACAGAGGAAGCACCGGCUAACUCCGUGCCAGCAGCCGCGGUAAUACGGGGGGUGCAAGCGUUGUUCGGAAUUAUUGGGCGUAAAGAGCGUGUAGGCGGCCGGAUGUGUCAGAUGUGAAAGCCCUGGGCUUAACCCAGGAAGUGCAUUUGAAACUGUCCGGCUUGAGUAGGGGAGAGGGAAGUGGAAUUCCUGGUGUAGAGGUGAAAUUCGUAGAUAUCAGGAGGAACACCGGUGGCGAAGGCGACUUCCUGGCCCUAUACUGACGCUCAUGCACGAAAGCGUGGGGAGCAAACAGG